Molecule: long non-coding RNA, 2774 nt
Organism: Gasterosteus aculeatus aculeatus (three-spined stickleback)
Lineage: Eukaryota; Metazoa; Chordata; Actinopteri; Perciformes; Gasterosteidae
Source: Ensembl
AACCCCCCACCCCCCCCCCCCCACCCAGAGAGGGCCUUUUUUGACCUUCCGGGGGAAGGGGGGGGGGGGGGCUGGCGUGAUGUAAUGGUUUGAGCGGAGGGGUCGCGUGGGCCAGCUGGGUGCUCUCAUCAAGUAAUAAAAAAAAGAAAAGGGCUGUAGAAGAGUUGAGUUCCAUAAACAUGUAAAUAUAAAUGUACCGUAUGUGUAGCUGACCUGGGAUCAGUGGUUUUAGUGUGAAUUCUUGCCACAUAUCGAGGAUAUUUAAAGGAAUAUUUGGGGAGAUUAACUUGUUUGUUGAGUGAGAUGGAUUCCAAAAAAAAAAAAAAAAAAGUUUUCCAGGAACCUUCAAUAAACAAAACAUCUAAAUCAAUACUUCAUUCAAAUGUGACUUGUGGAAAGAUACAUGUUCUAUUUCUUUAAGUUACUGCAAUACGCACAUACAAAAUAUCUUCAUAUAAAAGUAUGUAGCACAAAACUGAUUUUUAUGUACAAUAUAAGUCUUUUUAAGUAUAUAACUAUUAAGUUUUUCUGUUGGCGGGAAAAGCACCAACAUUGGAGAAAUAAGUUUGUUUCACAAAUGAUUACUUACUCACAGCUCACUUCUGCAUUAUCUUGUAUAGUUUGUGCUUUAAUGUGGUUGAGAGGAGGACCGAUAAAAGACGUUUUGCCAAAGACGAGGAAUCAAAUUGCUGCGAUGCAAUAAUAAUAGUGUAGUCAAUGUGUUAUGUUACGGAAAAAAAGGUUGUUAUACAGUAACAAGAAAAAUAUGAGCAAGCUGUUUAACAGCAACGACGUCAAAACAGGGUAUUUUCUUUUGGAAAAAUAUACUUUCUGCAAUUUCACACGUCAAAAUGCUUCAACAACUGCCUGUUUAUUUGCAAUAAUACUGUUUUAGAGAUGUGUGGUAAUAGUGGACACUUUUCUGUCUCUGUGUCGAUAUGAAACAUGUGAUCAAAUAAAGAAUUCCUCGAUGUGUCGAUUGGGACUCUCUUAUGACAAAGCUCAAGAAAAACACUCCAGACAGCAGACAAGAUAAGAGUUUACAGCCUUAAAAAAAUCAAAUAAUUUAUUUCUGUGUUCUUUUUCCACAUUAAAUAAAAGCUAUCGGACAUUUCCAGAUCAAAAUCAAGAGGGGACGGGGGAGAGGAACAGGGGAAACAGAAACAUGACAUGCAGAAGAACUUUGCUUUCCCCUUUGCACGCUUCAUGGAGCCAGCCCCCGAAAAACACUGCAGAAAAGCCCCCGCAGGUCUCCACCACCACCACAGCUUCUUUAGUGGAAAACAUCUGGUCUAUAUGACCCUGGUUUCUGGGGGGGGGGGGGGGGGAGGGGGGCUGUAGGAUGGCAGACGUCUCCCCGGGUGAGGAGCAGGGAUCUGAUUGUUAUCAUUUACCGCUUGGACACCACAGAGGACGUCCAGGAGGAGGAAAGAACCUGUGAACACUGAACUGGCUUGUAAAUUCAAAACUUAUCCCGAAUGCAUUGUCAGAGAGGGGGGGGACGGGACGCGGCUACCGUCCGACGGGCGACGCAGCCCUUCAGUCGGAGACCAGGAGCGAUCCACGAGGAAUUGCCAGGAUCUCACAAGAGCCCAAGAAGGAAAGAAAGAAACCCUAAAACGCCUCUUCAUACAUACGGACCGCCGGAUGGAGCCAGACGGCUUGGUUUUGGGAGGUGUUACAUGGAGAGGGGGGGGGGAAUUAAACACAGGGUGAUCAUUUAAAUUUAAACAGCGUCAGAGGAGCAGUAAAGGAAAUAGUCGCUGAGGGGGGAGCGUUUUUUUCCUCUCGCUUGUCCGUUGAGAAGCGCUCCAUAUUCUCUGGAUGGGCUGAAGUAGAAACAAAUCAAAAAACAAAAAUAAAAUCUCGACAAGACAACCCGACCCUUCCUUCCCAAAGGAUGAUUCAACUCAAAAACAUGCGCUCAUUAUAUCCAGGGAAUACAUCAACACUCUUAUACAAACCCCAAAGAAAAGAAUAGUGAAUAGUACGUCAUCUGAACCUUUGUGCCAAACGCGCACACAAAGACACACACACAGACACACACAGGCUGGUGUGAAGGUGGCACCUCUGUAAACAGCCACUUUAUCUUUCAGUCCUGGGCCCCGGGGACGAGACGUCUCAGCUGCUCUGCUGACGAGGGGAAACAAAACCCAGAACUUCACCGACUGGGCGGCGGCUCAUCGGCCCGCGAGUCUGUGAACCCGUCCGGCCGCCAAACAGCCGUCAGCGCAGUUUGUCUUUGUGCAGCUGAUGCUACUGUGGUCGUUCCCCGCGGGUAAAAGCACGCAGACGUCCAACUGCAACAUUUGAAAGUUGACUUUCGAGAAAAAUUGCAUUAACAACCUGUGAUGUAAAGUUUUGUUUUAAUUUCUAUUUUAAAAGAUUGAAACGUGUUUAUUCGUCCCUCAGCCAUCGGCCGCAUCGUCUCCCGUCCUCGCUCGCAGCAAACGCUUAAGACGAGUCCUGGAACGCUAAAAAUAACGCAAAGUGUGUGAUUUGUGACGAUUUGUUCGUCUACACUUCUCCUGUGCACGACGUAAAAAAGGUCUAACCGAUCCACAGCCAGUCAAAAUAACACACACACACACAGACACACACAGACACUGCAGCGGUUCCAGAAGAAGUCUGACCUUUGUUCAUAAACAGUGUGGAUCGGAAAGGUCAGGGUGCAUCCAAGACACGCUCCCAAAAUGUCGGCGAGGUUGGUCGUGCAUCGGUCGAGGGCACCGCGGACUCAGCGGCUUCGGAGCAGCAUGAGGUUACACAGGUGU